UACAGAGGUCUCAAGCGUUGUUCGGAUUCAUUGGGCGUAAAGGGUGCGUAGGUGGUUUGUUAAGUUGAAGGUGAAAUCUCGGAGCUCAACUCCGAAACUGCCUUCAAUACUGGCGAACUCGAGAACUGUAGAGGAGAAUGGAAUUCACGGUGUAGCAGUGAAAUGCGUAGAUAUCGUGAGGAAGACCAGUGGCGAAGGCGAUUCUCUGGGCAGUUCCUGACACUGAGGCACGAAGGCCAGGGGAGCAAACGGG
RNAcentral lists this ribosomal RNA (253 nucleotides) under uncultured bacterium. RNAcentral's name for it is "partial 16S ribosomal RNA". It matches the Rfam family "Bacterial small subunit ribosomal RNA", at positions 524 to 776 of the family's 1533-position model. The record is from RNAcentral.